CCUACGGGCGGCAGCAGUGGGGAAUAUUGGACAAUGGGGGCAACCCUGAUCCAGCCAUGCCGCGUGUGUGUAGAAGGCCCUCGGGUUGUAAAGCACUUUCAGUGAGGAAGAACGCCUGGUGGUUAAUACCCAUCAGGAAAGACAUCACUCACAGAAGAAGCACCGGCUAACUCCGUGCCAGCAGCCGCGGUAAUACGGAGGGUGCGAGCGUUAAUCGGAAUUACUGGGCGUAAAGCGCGCAUAGGUGGCUUGAUAAGCCGGUUGUGAAAGCCCCGGGCUCAACCUGGGAACGGCAUCCGGAACUGUCAAGCUAGAGUGCAGGAGAGGAAGGUAGAAUUCCCGGUGUAGCGGUGAAAUGCGUAGAGAUCGGGAGGAAUACCAGUGGCGAAGGCGGCCUUCUGGACUGACACUGACACUGAGGUGCGAAAGCGUGGGUAGCAAACAGGAUUAGAUACCCCUGUAGUC
Molecule: ribosomal RNA, 465 nt
Filed under: Vreelandella stevensii
Lineage: Bacteria; Pseudomonadati; Pseudomonadota; Gammaproteobacteria; Oceanospirillales; Halomonadaceae
Description: partial 16S ribosomal RNA
Rfam family: Bacterial small subunit ribosomal RNA
Source: RNAcentral